This 700-nucleotide ribosomal RNA is filed under the name uncultured organism. RNAcentral describes it as "bacterial SSU rRNA". It matches the Rfam family "Bacterial small subunit ribosomal RNA", at positions 396 to 1108 of the family's 1533-position model. The record is from RNAcentral.
GCCGCGUGCGUUAUGAAAGCCUUCGGGUAGUAAACCGGUUUUCUGCGCGAAGAGGAAGGACUGUAGCGCAGGAAGACGUCUCGGCUCCCUACCUGGCAAUCAGCCGAGGUAAAAUCUAGGACGCGAGCGUUAUCCGGAUUUACUGUGUGUAAAGCGCGUGGAUGCGGUGAUGUAAGUGGUGCGUGAAAGCGCCCGGGUCAUCCGAGGCUAGGCCGCGCCAAACUGCAGUGACUGGGAGGCAGGUAGAUGCUCUUGGAAUUCCGGGUGUAUGUGGGACGUGCGUUGAUCUCCGUAGGAACACCAGUGGCCAAUGCUGCUCUCUAGGCCUGAUCUGACGCUAAGACGCGAAAGCAUGGGGAGCGAACGGGAUUAGAAACCCCGAUAGUACACGCUGUAAACGCCGCAGACAUAGGUGUUGCGUACGACGAGUAUGCAGUGCCGAAGCCAACGUGAUAAGUACACCACGUGGGGAAUACGCCCGCAAGAUUAAAAAGCAAAGGAAUUGACGGGGCACCGCACAAGCAGCGGAGCGUGUGAUUAAAUUCGAGGCGACACGCAGAACCUGACCUGGGAUCGACAUGGCGGUGGUAGGGAACCGAGAGGGGACCGACCUUCGGGAGCCGUCACAGGUAAUGUAUGCGUGUCGUCAGCUCGUGUCGUGAGAUGUUUGGUUAAGUCCGGUAACGAGCGCAACCCUCGC